RNAcentral lists this long non-coding RNA (373 nucleotides) under Rattus norvegicus (Norway rat). RNAcentral's name for it is "long non-coding RNA NONRATT021533". Lineage: Eukaryota; Metazoa; Chordata; Mammalia; Rodentia; Muridae. The record is from RNAcentral.
UGGGAGGGAGAGCAAAACCUUCAGAGAGGCAGACACGCCUGGGAAACCAGAAGAGACUACACUCUGCCCACAUUACUGAUUCCAGAGGAAAACACCAAACGCCAUCUGGAACCCUGGUGCACAGAAGCUCCCAGAAAGGGCGGCGCAGGUCCUCCUGGUUGCUGCCCUAAAAGAGAGCUCAUAAGAAACACCCCACGAGCAAACUUGAGCCUCGGGACCACAGGUAAGACCAACCUUCCUGCUCCAAGCAACCUGCCUGGUGAACUCAGGACAUAGGCUCACAGGAACAGCUGAAGACCUGUAGAUAGGAAAAACUACACGCCUGAAAGCAGAACACUCUGCUCCCAUAACUGGCUGAAAGCAAACAGGAAAA